Molecule: long non-coding RNA, 783 nt
Organism: Gasterosteus aculeatus aculeatus (three-spined stickleback)
Lineage: Eukaryota; Metazoa; Chordata; Actinopteri; Perciformes; Gasterosteidae
Source: Ensembl
CACUUCUCUUCCAGCAGCCAUAUUCCCGACAACAAGAACAUCUGACAGAGCUCCCCUGGGGGACUCAAGAGCAUGUUUCACUGUGCACCAUGCUGGCACGGCGGCUGGGGGAGUGGAGUUAGCUCCGAAUGUUUGUUACACCUCGCCGUAUCAUUACACACGACUAACCAGCUCGAAGAAAAGGAAAUGUCCGACCUCCUGACAAGCGUUGUCUGGUUUUCCUGAUUCAGACAUCCACGUCAGUCUGUAUCAGAUGGAAAAAGAGAAACGCUCGGCAUGAUUACCUUUUCUCUCUGUCUCUGUAUCUCACAGAACCUUUCGCUUUCCAAGACGAGACGCAACUGGAAAAGGACAGCCCUGACACGGCGAGAUGGACAGAUACUGCUGAAAGUCCAUCUAAGUCUCUGCAGCACAGAGUUGGCCGCGCACCGACGGGCCGAGGUCAGGCUGAUGCUCGCCCACAAGACUGCACGAGUGGAGAGGUCAGCGGAUGCUAUUUUGCCCAAAGAACCUCGAGCGUCCAAACAGACUUGGCACGUCCUGCUGGCGGAGGACUCAUCACAUGACAAGAAAACUUGAUUCCCUACCCAUAACUGCAGGACAUCUGCGCUGAAUCGGCUCAAUUGGGUUGUAACGCACCGUGUUCAGUGAACUGGGGAGCAGAACUUCCCCAUCAGGUCCGACACAAGACCAACUCCGGCCACAACCCACCCAGAGGGAUGUACCAGUCGGCCCUCUCUGUCCUACUUUCCUCUUUUCAUCCUGCUCCUCUCAUGUUCCCAC